GAUGAACGCUGGCGGCGUGCCUAAUACAUGCAAGUCGAGCGAACGGACGAGAAGCUUGCUUCUCUGAUGUUAGCGGCGGACGGGUGAGUAACACGUGGAUAACCUACCUAUAAGACUGGGAUAACUUCGGGAAACCGGAGCUAAUACCGGAUGAUAUUUUGAACCGCAUGGUUCAAAAGUGAAAGACGGUCUUGCUGUCACUUAUAGAUGGAUCCGCGCUGCAUUAGCUAGUUGGUAAGGUAACGGCUUACCAAGGCAACGAUGCAUAGCCGACCUGAGAGGGUGAUCGGCCACACUGGAACUGAGACACGGUCCAGACUCCUACGGGAGGCAGCAGUAGGGAAUCUUCCGCAAUGGGCGAAAGCCUGACGGAGCAACGCCGCGUGAGUGAUGAAGGUCUUCGGAUCGUAAAACUCUGUUAUGGAAGAACAUAUGUGUAAGUAACUGUGCACAUCUUGACGGUACCUAAUCAGAAAGCCACGGCUAACUACGUG
RNAcentral lists this ribosomal RNA (494 nucleotides) under uncultured bacterium. Its description in RNAcentral is "partial 16S ribosomal RNA". It matches the Rfam family "Bacterial small subunit ribosomal RNA", at positions 28 to 507 of the family's 1533-position model. The record is from RNAcentral.